GAGAUCCGGUGUCUGCAAAUUUCUACGUGUCGUGACUUUUCUUUUUGCUCCUUUAUUUUUCUUUUUAUUUUAUUUUAGUGGAGUGACAGCUUAUCUAUUUUGGGAGAUAUUAAAAGUUUAUUUAUUAGUUAUUGGUAAGAUUUAGUUUAGAGGAUGUUUGUUUCAUUUUGGAUUGUGUCCUAAUCAUGAAAAUGGUCCAAUA
RNAcentral lists this long non-coding RNA (202 nucleotides) under Linum usitatissimum (flax). Its description in RNAcentral is "long non-coding RNA (LUSI_LNC005278)". Lineage: Eukaryota; Viridiplantae; Streptophyta; Magnoliopsida; Malpighiales; Linaceae. The record is from RNAcentral.